RNAcentral lists this ribosomal RNA (440 nucleotides) under uncultured bacterium. RNAcentral describes it as "partial 16S ribosomal RNA". It matches the Rfam family "Bacterial small subunit ribosomal RNA", at positions 338 to 795 of the family's 1533-position model. The record is from RNAcentral.
CCUACGGGGGGCUGCAGUGGGGAAUAUUGCACAAUGGGGGAAACCCUGAUGCAGCAACGCCGCGUGAGUGAAGAAGUAUUUCGGUAUGUAAAGCUCUAUCAGCAGGGAAGAAGAUGACGGUACCUGAGUGAGAAGCCACGGCUAACUACGUGCCAGCAGCCGCGGUAAUACGUAGGGGGCAAGCGUUAUCCGGAUUUACUGGGUGUAAAGGGAGCGUAGACGGGGAGACAAGUCUGAAGUGAAAGCACGGGGCUCAACCCCGGGACUGCUUUGGAAACUGCCUGACUGGAGUGCUGGAGAGGCAAGCGGAAUUCCUAGUGUAGCGGUGAAAUGCGUAGAUAUUAGGAGGAACACCAGUGGCGAAGGCGGCUUACUGGACUGUAACUGACGUUGAGGCUCGAAAGCGUGGGGAGCAAACAGGAUUAGAUACCCUUGUAGUC